AGUGAACGCUGGCGGUAGGCCUAGCACAUGCAAGUCGAACGGCAGCACAGUAAGAGCUUGCUCUUACGGGUGGCGAGUGGCGGACGGGUGAGGAAUACAUCGGAAUCUACUUUUUCGUGGGGGAUAACGUAGGGAAACUUACGCUAAUACCGCAUACGACCUACGGGUGAAAGCAGGGGAUCUUCGGACCUUGCGCGAUUGAAUGAGCCGAUGUCGGAUUAGCUAGUUGGCGGGGUAAAGGCCCACCAAGGCGACGAUCCGUAGCUGGUCUGAGAGGAUGGACCGGCCAAAUUGAAACGAAAAGACGGUCCGAACCCCAACGGGGGGCCGAGGGGGGAAAGUUGGGCAAGGGGGGGAAAGCCUGAUCCGGCCAACCCGGGGGGGGGAAGAAGGCCUUCGGGUUGUAAAGCCUUUUUGUGGGGAAAAAAAAGCGGCAGUUUAAUCCCCCGGUGUUUGGAGGGUACCCAAAAAAAAAACCCCGGCUAAUUUGGU
RNAcentral lists this ribosomal RNA (492 nucleotides) under uncultured bacterium. RNAcentral's name for it is "partial 16S ribosomal RNA". It matches the Rfam family "Bacterial small subunit ribosomal RNA", at positions 30 to 506 of the family's 1533-position model. The record is from RNAcentral.